GACGAACCGUGCGAACGUUGUUCGGAAUCACUGGGCAUAAAGGGCGCGUAGGCGGCUUAUCAAGUCAGGGGUGAAAUCCGGCAGCUCAACUGUCGAAGUGCCUUUGAUACUGAUGAGCUCGAGGGAGGUAGGGGUAUGCGGAACUUCCGGUGGAGCGGUGAAAUGCGUUGAUAUCGGAAGGAACGCCGGUGGCGAAAGCGGCGUACUGGACCUCUUCUGACGCUGAGGCGCGAAAGCUAGGGUAGCAAACGGG
Molecule: ribosomal RNA, 253 nt
Filed under: uncultured bacterium
Lineage: Bacteria
Description: partial 16S ribosomal RNA
Rfam family: Bacterial small subunit ribosomal RNA
Source: RNAcentral